This 488-nucleotide ribosomal RNA is filed under the name uncultured bacterium. RNAcentral describes it as "bacterial SSU rRNA". It matches the Rfam family "Bacterial small subunit ribosomal RNA", at positions 36 to 524 of the family's 1533-position model. The record is from RNAcentral.
ACCUGGCGGCGGCUUACACAUGCAAGUCGAACGAUGAAAUCUAGCUUGCUAGAUGGAUUAGUGGCGAACGGGUGAGUAAUGCUUAGGAAUCUGCCUAUUAGUGGGGGAUAACCAUCCGAAAGGAUGGCUAAUACCGCAUACGUCUUACGAGAGAAAGGGGGCUUUUAGCUCUCGCUAAUAGAUGAGCCUAAGUCGGAUUAGCUAGUUGGUGGGGUAAAGGCCUACCAAGGCGACGAUCUGUAGCUGGUCUGAGAGGAUGAUCAGCCACACUGGGACUGAGACACGGCCCAGACUCCUACGGGAGGCAGCAGUGGGGAAUAUUGGACAAUGGGCGAAAGCCUGAUCCAGCCAUGCCGCGUGUGUGAAGAAGGCCUUUUGGUUGUAAAGCACUUUAAGUGGGGAGGAAAAGCUUGUGGUUAAUACCCAUUAGCCCUGACGUUACCCACAGAAUAAGCACCGGCUAACUCUGUGCCAGCAGCCGCGGUAAU